GGUUGUGAGGUAAUCUGACUCUGACAUCAGUCACCCCAUUGAUCGUCAAGCCUGAUGCUACUAAUCUGAAUGGCUCAGGUGGGUGUCCUUUCUUUCUUCUGUGCUCCAUGUGUCCCUUCAGAAGCUGAGCACUUGGUUGAAAAGAGGACAUUAGAGUGUCUGUGCUCAUCUGCUAAAAACUCCAAACAAGCUCUUUUUAUAGUGUUUUUAUAACCAUGUAACUGUUGUGAAUCUGUAUGAACUUCACAUGAGAAAAGGCCCAAAGUCACAUUUUAUUAAUUUAAGUGCUGUCUUUAAACAACUACUU
RNAcentral lists this small nuclear RNA (307 nucleotides) under Marmota monax (woodchuck). Its description in RNAcentral is "7SK RNA". It matches the Rfam family "7SK RNA". From Rfam's summary of the family: 7SK was discovered as an abundant small nuclear RNA in the mid-70s but a possible function has only recently been suggested. Two independent studies have found that 7SK RNA binds the CDK9/cyclin T complex (known as elongation factor P-TEFb). P-TEFb activates transcription by phosphorylating the C-terminal domain of RNA polymerase II. The record is from Rfam by way of RNAcentral. Lineage: Eukaryota; Metazoa; Chordata; Mammalia; Rodentia; Sciuridae.